CCUACGGGGAGCAGCAGUCGAGAAUCAUUCACAAUGGGGGAAACCCUGAUGGUGCGACGCCGCGUGGGGGAAUGAAGGUCUUCGGAUUGUAAACCCCUGUCAUGUGGGAGCAAAGUAAAAAGAUAGUACCACAUGAGGAAGAGACGGCUAGCUCUGUGCCAGCAACCUCGGUAAUACAGAGGUCACACGCGUUGUUCGGACUCAUCGGGCGUAGAGCGUGCGUAGGCUGUGUCGUAAGUCGUUUGUGAAUGGCGCGGGCUCAACCCGCGGACGGCACAUGAUAUUGCGAGACUAGGGUAAUGGAGGGGGAACCGGAAUUCUCGGUGUAGCAGUGAAAUGCGUAGAUAUCGAGAGGAACACUCGUGGCGAAGGCGGGUUCCUGGACAUUAACUGACGCUGAGGCACGAAGGCCAGGGGAGCGAAAGGGAUUAGAUACCCGAGUAGUC
Molecule: ribosomal RNA, 446 nt
Filed under: uncultured bacterium
Lineage: Bacteria
Description: partial 16S ribosomal RNA
Rfam family: Bacterial small subunit ribosomal RNA
Source: RNAcentral